UUCCCGGAAAGAUACACAGUUAUAAUAGAAAAUGAUUUUUGAACCAUACUCAAAAAUACUACAGAAAGUUGCAACCAUGCUGCAGAAUAAGAGUAAAAAUGGUUCAUCUUCACCCAGCAGGAACAGGCUCCCAGCCCUGGGAGCUGUGACAGUGCACUUCAGCCACCACCCACAAUCAGCAACGUGAACAAGGCUCGGCUCAGUGACAGAGAGAGGGAAAGGCAUAAUUUCAGGCUUACACAAGGCAGCAGGGGAGGCGAAAUUCCUAAUCCUGGCAUCAGCCCCGCAGCCAGUGCCAGCCCCACAGCCCUCCAGGUCAGACCUGAGGCUCUCAUCUCACAGGCCUCUGG
This 350-nucleotide long non-coding RNA is filed under the name Anser brachyrhynchus (Pink-footed goose). RNAcentral's name for it is "lncRNA (ENSABRG00000008912.1)". Lineage: Eukaryota; Metazoa; Chordata; Aves; Anseriformes; Anatidae. The record is from RNAcentral.